Molecule: unclassified non-coding RNA, 5495 nt
Filed under: Mus musculus (house mouse)
Lineage: Eukaryota; Metazoa; Chordata; Mammalia; Rodentia; Muridae
Description: partial Xist
Rfam family: X-chromosome inactivation gene exon 4 (bases 466-591)
Source: RNAcentral
GAUCAUCAGGCUUGGCAGCAAGUGCCUUUACCCUCCGCGUGCCAUCUUGCCAUCCCGCUGCUGAGUGUUUGAUAUGACAUUGCUGAUGAAAAUAAUCAUCACAACAGCAGUUCUCCCAGCAUUACUGAGAAAUGAUACUAUUUUUCUGAGGAGGAUGUUCAAGUAACUCAUCCAGUGCAGGAUCCUGCUUGAACUACUGCUCCUCCGUUACAUCAGACUCUGGCUGUUUAGACUACAGGAUGAAUUUGGAGUCUGUUUUGUGCUCCUGCCUCAAGAAGAAGGAUUGCCUGGAUUUAGAGGAGUGAAGAGUGCUGGAGAGAGCCCAAAGGGACAAACAAUCCCUAUGUGAGACUCAAGGACUGCCAGCAGCCUAUACAGCUACAUUACAUCUCAGCAGAACUUCUCUUCAAGUCCUCGCUACUCUGAACAAAAAGCUUACAGGCCACAUGGAGAAAAAAAGAUCUCCCCCCAGAAUUGUGGGCUUGCUGCUUUGCAGUGCUGGCGACCUAUUCCCUUUGACGAUCCCUAGGUGGAGAUGGGGCAUGAGGAUCCUCCAGGGGAAUAGCUCACCACCACUGGGCAACAGGCCUAGCCCAGAUUUCAGUGAGACGCUUUCCUGAACCCAGCAAGGAAGACAAAGGCUCAAAGAAUGCCACCCUACAUCAAAGUAGGAGAAAAGCUGCUGCAAUAGUGGCACUGACCUUCGAGGAAGCCAUUCUGCUCUAUUUGGUUCUCUCUCCAGAAGCUAGGAAAGCUUUGCCAGCUGUUUACAUACUUCAAGAUGCACUGCUACCCUACUCAUGCCAUAUAAUACACAAUGCCAUCUACCAAAUAUUACCCUUCCCCAAAGCAGCACAGAAAACUGGGUCUUCAGCGUGAUCAAGCAAUGUGAACACACAAAAGGAAGGCAGCUUUAUAAAUGACCCGAGGAUCAACAUGCCUGACUGCAGCAUCUUAAAAGCAAUAGAAUGAGUGUGUAUUGUGGGUGUGUCUAUUUCUUGUUUUAUGUAUCUAUUUUUUCCUUGGUCUGUGUGUCUAAUUCUUUGUUACAUCUAUUUCUUCCUUGCUUUGUGUGUCUAUUUCUUCCUUGCUUUGUGUGUCUAUUUCUUCCUUGCAUUAUGUCUAAUUCUUUGUUAUAUCUAUUUCUUCCUUGCUUUGUGUCUAUUUCUUCCUUGCAGUUGUGUCUAAUUCUUUGUUACAUCUAUUUCUUCCUUGCUUUGUGUGUCUAUUUCUUCCUUGCAUUGUGUCUAAUUCUUUGUUAUAUCUAUUUCUUCCUUGCUUUGUGUGUCUGUCUUCCUUGCUUUGUGUCUAUUUCUUCCUUGCAGUUGUGUCUAAUUCUUUGUUACAUCUAUUUCUUCCUUGCUUUUGUGUGUCUUUCUUUCUUGCUUUUGUGUGUCUAUUUCUUCCUUGCAGUUGUGUCUAAUUCUUUGUUACAUCUAUUUCUUCCUUGCUUUUGUGUGUCUAUUUCUUCCUUGCAUUGUGUCUAAUUCUUUGGUAUAUAUAUUUCUUCAUUGCUUUGUGUGUCUAUGUCUCCUUGUGUUGUCUAAUUCGUUGUUGCAUCUAUUUCUUCCUUGCUUUGUGUGUCUAUUUCUUCCUUGCUUUGUGUGUCUAUGUCUUCCUUGCUUUGUGUGUCUAUGUCUUCCUUGUUUUGUGUAUCUACUUCUUCCUUGUGUGUCUAAUUCUUUGUUACAUCUAUUUCUUCCUUCCUUUGCAUGUCUCCUUCUUUCCUUUGUGUGUCUUUUCUGUCUGCAGUGUGUCUUACCUAUUCCCAUGUUUCUCCUGCAUGUUCUUUCUUGCAGAGCUUUGAGCUUUGUUUCACUUUCUCUGGUGCCUGUGUGGUCUGCUUUGUCUUCACUAGCUAUGGCUCUCUGUUUUAUCUAUCUGGUUGCUAUUUCUCUUAGCUUUUCUUUCACUCCUGCCUUUCGUGACUCCCCUUUGGGUCACAUGUUGCAUGCAUCCCUCUCUUUUUCUUGUGCUCACCCCACUUGUUCUUUGUUCAAGUUCUCUUUGUCAGUCCAUUUCAGUUUUCUUUCUGCUGCUUCUAUCCUUAGUGAAUUCUUGUUUACAUUUCUUCCCUGCCUUUCUUGGGCCACUUUCUCUGUUUUCUUUUGUAUUUGUGUCUCUUUGCUAUUGGUGGAUUUCUUAUCUCAGCAUCAUUCUGUUGCUUUGUGUUUGCUUGUGUUUCUAUCUUCUACUUUCCUCCUUUCUGUUCACUUUGAGCAUUUCAUCUCUUUACAAGUCUGUGUCUCUCUUGUAUUCUAAAGUAAUCCUUUCUUGGAUGUUUCUUUGUAUGUACAUGUGCGUGUGUGCAUGUGUGUUAUGUGUGUCAUGUGUGAGAGGAGCUUCAUAGCCCCUUCCCAAUAGGUCCAGAAUGUCACCCGUGGAGCCGUUCCUCACACCAGACUGCCCUGAGAAAUAAUCUAAGACAAAAUACAUCAUUCCGUCCGGUCAGGAUUCAAGUGGCUCUGAAGUGAACGCCCAAGUAGAAGACAGAAGUUUUGCGACUUGAGAUUUAAAAGGACCAAAAUACACAGAUGGCCCGUCUUGAGCUGGCUGGACAGAAUGCUGACAACCCAAAGAAGAGGAACUGUUUCUACAGGACACCUGUGACUUCCAAGAGCGGGGAACUACGUAUGUCAUAAGACACAAAACCUGAGCUAAGUCCAAGCAUAAGACCUAAGGACCCAAUCCUAUAUGGACAGAAUAUUUAAGAGAUAAAGGCCUAUGGCCCAGAACUCUGGAAGGAUAUUUCUAUCCUUCUAUCCCCAAGACCAAGAAGGGAAAUUCGAAGAUGAGACCUGCCCCCCAACCCCAGCAUCCCUUUCCAUUUCUUAUAUUUCUAUUUAAGCUGUCUUCACUUGAGAUGUAAUUUUUCAUUGUUGCCAUUGCCCAUAAAGGAAUACGUUUUUAGCUGGAUAGUAUUGUGCAAGGGUCUGUUUUAAACUGGGUCUUAGCCAUUUGUUAAAUUGUUGAUGUUUUACAACUUCCAUUUCUCUUCACAUCUGCUCCACUUGAGACGGAACUAAAUCCAGCCAGUGUAUAUAGCCUGACUAUUGAAACUUCCCUAGGAAUAAGCAUGCAUACAGAUAUGCAUACUGCCAUCCUCCCUACCUCAGAAGCCCUAGGCUGACAAGAAAAGGAAAGCAUCAGGUUGUUAGGGGGAAAACAAUGUCAGGCUAUCUAGAGAAAAUAUAAAGAGUUGUUCCAGACCAAUGAGAAGAAUUAGACAAGCAAUAUGCAGAUGUGCCAACCCUCUGAGAAGCACCAGCCAGUGUCACCUUCUUUCUUUGGGCUUAGGUGAGCAGGGUAUGGUUUUCUAAUAAUGGUUUGGGGACAAAAUGAGGUCUGAACUCCCUGCUCAUAGUAGUGGCCGAGUAAUUUGGUGCAUUUCACCAAAGGAACUCCUGGGUCUAAUACCUACCUUUAAAAUUAAUGAUGAGAGACUCUAAGGACUACUUAACGGGCUUAAUCUUUUUCGUGCCUUCCUCUUCCUCUGUAAGAGGGAAGUUAAAUGACACAGGAUGAAAAAGUAACAUGCUCAUAGCACAUUGGCAAUUAUACAUGGUUAUUAUCUGAAAGUGUAGAGCUUUUCCUAUAAGGCAUCAGACUAAGUACCUGAAGCUUUGUGGGUUCAUGGUCUUAGUUGCAUAUUCCUUAGUUGCAAAUCCUUUUCAAAAGGUAAGAAAAAGGCACACUGGUCUAUUGCCUGUACUUGAUCAAGCCCUGAUAUGAAUGCCAGGGAAUGUCUGAGUAACAUUAAUUUCCUUCCCUGCAUAUUUUUUGUGCUGAAUACUAAGGCUGUGAUGCUUCACUGUGGUCACCCCCAGGUAACAAGAUAUUACCAGGUAACCAGGAAACGUAUGAAUACGUAAACCAUGAAGCCUACUGUAACUUCCAAGUCAGUGCUGAGUAUGUAUUACAUAGUAGCUGAAGUCUACGCCUCUGUGUGCUAUAGGCACAAAGAUUGCUCUAGGAAUAACAUGCUUUGUAAAAACAAAUAUAUGAACAUAACGGGGCUUGAAUGAAUAACAGUCCAUAUACUUAAGGCCAGUGUGUUUCUUCUGCUUUGGUGAGGCUCAGUAAGUUAUAUUAUACCAGGUAGCAGAAGAGAAAACACAUGGAAACUGAUUUUAAACUACAAACUAGGUCACUAAUGCAGGUGAUUGAUUACCCUAUUCUGAUCACCUUCUAAUUUCUGAAUACCCAUGUUCAGCACUGGGAAUAACAAAGGGGGACAUUACCACAGAACUAGAAUUUACAAAAGAAUGCAUUAAAUAAAGCAUUAUACAGCUAUCAAUUGUUCCAUGUGUGCAAAUGAAUGACUACUAACUACCUCUGAUGUAUCCGAUAUUGUUUUGGGUACAUGAAAUAUUCAUGAGUAACUGCCAUGAAAUAAGAAUGUUUGCAUUCCAUACUAUUCAUAAGGAAUGAGCCAAUGCUUAAUUUAAUCAGUCAAAACUUGAGUGAUAAGGGCAUGUUAAUACAAGAACAUUUGCCCAGGUCACAUUAUGGUUGUGGGUACUUUCUUAACUAUAAAGCAGUUCAGUAGUAUAAGACAAGACAAAUUUUCUAUAGAAAUAAAGCUGCCUAUAAAAUAGGCAUAGUCUCUACAAAAUUUUCAUUGUACUUUUUAGCCCAUAAUGGGAAGAGUACAGUUAACAAGCUGGGUGUGGUAGCAUGUGCUCUGAGCUGAAGCAACAGGACCACUUGAGCCCAGAAAUUGGAGGCUAGCCUGGGAAGACCAUAAGGUCAAUCUCAAACCUGGAGGCUAAAUAUUGUCUCCCAUGUGUAUAUUCUCUUUCAUGGGUACUGGAGAGAUACACAGACGUACAUUUCAGUGUGUCCACACUUGAGAAUAAUAUGUACGUUGGCAUUUUAUGAACUCGGAGGUACCAUAUAAAUGUAACAAUUCAUUUUCUUACUUGGUAUCAAUUUCCAGGCUUUUAAAAUUCUGCCACAUUUAUUAUACUGUGAAAAUAAAGUAAAUAAGUAACUGUGAACCACUGAAUAUAUGAAGCAUUCAAUACUUGAUGAGUACAUACUGAAUGGCAGUCAUUUAUUACAAAACAGUGCCCUUGCUAGGCACUGGGAUGCAAAGAGCAUUCUCAUUGUCCUGUGUAUCUAAAGAAAUUAUGCAUGAGAUUAAUUUAUAAUUUGUAAACUGCCAUAUAUAUGUGUAUAUAUGCAAUAUUUGCCUGGUGUGCAAUGACUUUGCUUUUAUCCCAGGCAUGCACAACAGAUCUGUGUGGAGCUUUGUGAAGUCUACAGUUCUAUAAAGCCGGGACCUAACUGUUGGCUUUAUCAGUGAACAGUGAUUACUUUCUAAGUUUCAUAAUGGCUGAAACUUAAUCAUAAUGCUUAUCACCUAACACCACCUAAUAAUAAUUUUACCAUGCUAUGUGUUGAGCGAACACAUAGAUUGCUUUCUAGCAUUAUGUAGCACUUAUAGGAGUGAAAUCUAGACCAAAACUUCAAUUCACUUCAAUGAGGAAAUG